AGCAGUCGCCGCGGGAAUACGAAGGGUGCAAGCGUUAAUCGGAAUUACUGGGCGUAAAGCGUGCGUAGGCGGUGAGUUAAGUCUGCUGUGAAAUCCCCGGGCUCAACCUGGGAACUGCGUUUGUUACUGGCAGACUUGAGUGUGGCAGAGGGGGGUAGAAUUCCACGUGUAGCAGUGAAAUGCGUAGAGAUGUGGAGGAAUACCGAUGGCGAAGGCAGCCCCCUGGGCCAAUACUGACGCUCAUGCACGAAAGCGUGGGGAGCAAACAGGAUUAGAUACCCCGGUAGUCCCUGUCUCUUAUAC
This 303-nucleotide ribosomal RNA is filed under the name uncultured bacterium. Its description in RNAcentral is "partial 16S ribosomal RNA". It matches the Rfam family "Bacterial small subunit ribosomal RNA", at positions 507 to 807 of the family's 1533-position model. The record is from RNAcentral.